CUAGCCCAUGCUACAGCAGCCACUAGCCUGCUCCGUUGCGGACAGCUGCCGAGCACGGCUGCACUGAAGGUAUGUCCGGUAGGUUUGAGAGAGAUUUCGACGCGGAAUAAACGACAAAAACAAGAAUUAAAUUGAUUUAAUGGAGCGUAUUAACUACAUAUUCAGAGCUGUAAUAGAGCUAAAUGGGGAUCUCGACAGCUAGCUAUCGCGCUCAUUUCAUUCUGUGGUACUCGCUAGCCAGGUUGCUAAUGAGAAUGAGUUUUGCGGGAUGCUGUUAGCUAGCGAGGCUGGCUCGACUACACGAUGUCUGCUGUAUUAAAUCGGUUAGCUAAACAUAAAUGAGCACAAAACAAAGUAUUUUAAUUACCCGUCGUAUUUUAAACACCAAGCAAGAUGGACAGGGUUGUUUUAAUUUCUAUAGCUGGGUAUAUUGGAAACCGCCAUUUUUUUUCUGAGCAGGCGAGGGAAUUUUGAGUAAGAGUUGGGAGAGUUUAGCCCGCCAGAGUGGCCUCCUUUUUUUCUUUUCUUUUUUUUUGUGCCUAAGCUUUCUACAACGCAUGACUGCAUUUUCGUUCUCAUUUCACUUGUGGAAUUCUAAUUAUUUAUUUUUCAGUAAUAACGUGAAGUCAAAACUGAAAAUACAACAUGCUGUGGAUGUGCUCAUGGUAACGCUGAAGGGGUCCAUGCUUUGUGGGAGCAGCCAAGAAAGUGGGAAUGAAUCGUGUAGCAGGAUCAUCAGCUAACAUGCUUCCCAUUUCACCACCAUCCCUUAGAGCUUCUAGGAAAUAGUACUUGCAGAUUAUUUCGGUAUCUGCCCUUGGCGUGCAUUCGUCUAUUUAGAGCUAAACGUCAGUGUGAAUGAAAUCCCAUGAGUUCUAGUGAAGAAACGUGUGGAAUUUGAAAGGCAUUUUAAACCUGGGAAAUGCUAGAAAAUUCAGGAAGGGUUUCGGAAACCACCUGGACGUUCUGUUGUCCGAGACACGGUCUACCUAAUGACUAAUACACUUCGUUUUCUACACUAACGCAUCUUCACAUGACGUUUUUAUAUCUUCCCUUUGUAUAGCAUGCUAUUGAUGGGUCACGGCAAGAAGCUGAUGGUGAACACCGAGAAGAUUGAAGUGUUUCAGAGGUUUAAAAUGUCCGGAAAGGAGCAGUAAGCAUGUGGUUUUUUUUUUUUUUUUUUUUUUUUGUCCAGCGUAAUAUUUUGAGAUCGUUCACGGUCUUGAUUCAGUCGGAAAAAGAAAAUCAGAUUGUUUCAUAAAUGUAGUUACUUCAUCCAAGGCGAUAUGUGUAAUGUGAAAGGAAACGUGACGGAUGAAGGGGUUUUUAUACAGAUUAGCCGGUCUUUUAUCAGUGUCUCUUUUUUAUUAUUAUUUAUUUUUAAACAAAGCAUCAGUUUUCUAAAAGAAGAAAAGGGCAGUGAACUAAUCCUCUGACGCACACUGAGACAUUGGAUGCAUCAGCAGGUCUCUUUUUGGCAGUCCUUAUUCGGAAAGACUUUGGAUCAGUGGCCUUUCGUUGGCCUUUUAAAGAUGAAUACCCUGCAAGAACGGAGGAGAUUCAGAAACAGCCGAAAGUCGAACACGUCUUACCUUGGCAACUGACUCUGCUCAGUGCCAAGUGAUGUCAUUUAAUAGGGCACAGUCUUUCGGAUAUAAACUUAUGGAAAAGAUGGCAAGGUGAAGGAUACAGGAUGAGUGUCGACGCUUCUCCAGAUGGUGUUUGCACUGUGGGAUGAGGUAGUAGGUUGUGUAGUUUUAGGGUCACACCCACACUGGGAGAUAACUAUACAGCCUACUGUCUUUCUCAGGGUGGCGAGGGAGCACCUGCACAUCUCAUCGUGUGUUGGGAAUGCAGUAUCAUAAGAUAUAGGGGUGAAUAAAACCCAAUUAGUUGAUGGACGUCGACGUUCAUGCCUGUUAAAAGAUUAUGCUUUCACAGUGUGAGGUAGUAGAUUGUAUAGUUGUGGGAUAGUGAUUUUAUCCUGUCUGGAAGAUAACUAUACAACCUAUUGCCUUCCCUGAGGGGCGGAGAUUCACAGUCAGUUUACCUCUUUAAAAUGAACUGUUUGUUAACGAAUAAAUAUAUUAUUUUAUUUGUGUAUGUAAGUGCUUGUGUGUUUCUGAAUUAAUAAAUGCCAUUCAUUGUGUCUCAUGGCCUAUUAUCUGUUUUGUAAGUGUUUUUUUUUUUUUUUUUUUUUUUUUUUUUUUUUUUUUUAAAUUAUGCUAUAAUGACUGAUAAUCUGCACACACAGUAAUAUGAAUAUGAAUCCAUCCGAAAAGUAAAUCCGUGAAAACCCAUUAGACUACAAUAGAGGAUGCAAUUUUCCUGAAGAUUUCAGUAUGUGUUUAAAACAUUUGUGCAGUGUUAGUGCUCCAGUGUUCAGUAAUCCAGGUUUAUCUUGCUCGGGUAGUUUAACAGAGCAAGGGUGUAUAUGAAUUGAGUAAUUGUGAUUUACCCAGUGGUGUUGGGGGACUGUCGAUUCCAGCUUUUUUCCGGGAGAUGGCGCUCUUUAAUUAUUUAUCAUAAUCCAGACGACGAAUGCAGCGUGUCACGUAAAGGCUAUACUCUUAAAAUUGAAAAGAGCUAGGUCAUACAGUAUUAUUAUACGAUGUCUGUUUAGGCCCCAUUUAAUUACUGCACUUGUAUCUUGUCAGUUUGUAAACCAAGGAGCAUAUCCAGUAGGCCUAUAAUAUUGGCAAUGUUAUAAAAUAUUACAACCUUUAUGGGAGGUCAUCCAUGAGAUCCAUUGGAUUAUUUGGCUUUCCUCCUGCCUGAGGGACAAUUAUUGUGUAGUUUGUACAUUCACACUAUUAAAAGCAAACAGCUCAAGACUGGAAACUCCAUCAGUUUUACAGAUGUCGUCAUUUCACCCAGACUGAAGAUUAAAUAGAAAUUUGCAAGCAGAUGGGUUGUACUGUAGAUAAAAAUCUAAGAUUUCAACACCUUAAAUCGUUGUGCUGACAAACUACUAUUAGUCUGAACGCAGUCUCGUUGCCUGUAUUCAUUGCUUUAGUGGAGAAGGAUCCUUUUCAUUUCCAGUGCUCUUUUGCACAGUAAUUUGUAUUAAACGUACUUGACAAGAUACAAGAUCUUUAAUGUCAUAUGCACAAGGUUCUUCACUAAGCAACGUGAUGCUGCAGUAGAACAUAUAGGCGAGAAAAGAAAGAAAGAAAAAAAGACAGUAAAUUAGCCUAAUAAUAGAUACAUAUUUGUGACAGGAGUUAUAUACCUUAUAAACUG
This is a long non-coding RNA of Ictalurus punctatus (channel catfish), 3243 nucleotides long. NCBI's taxonomy places the organism in Eukaryota, Metazoa, Chordata, Actinopteri, Siluriformes, Ictaluridae. The record is from Ensembl.